Molecule: long non-coding RNA, 1201 nt
Filed under: Monodelphis domestica (gray short-tailed opossum)
Lineage: Eukaryota; Metazoa; Chordata; Mammalia; Didelphimorphia; Didelphidae
Description: lncRNA (ENSMODG00000040724.1)
Source: RNAcentral
AGCCUUAGGGAUUCUGCGAGAUGACAUAUACAAAGAAAUGAAAAAUAUAGACUAUAUAAAUUUUUUUUGUUUAUAAAUUUUGUCCAUACUAUGCAUAAAGAGGUAAUAUUGCUUAAUUCUACUUAGAGAACUCACAAAUCUCCCCCUAAGCAUAGCAAAAUGGUACGUUCGGAAGCAAAGUCAGGAAAAGAAAGGAAGGCGAGGUGAAGGGGGAGGGGAGACGGCAGAGCGACCGCGAUCCAUUGGUGUGCAUUUGCGAGGGAGGAGAGUAGGCCUAGUUCCGGAGCUCACCCCUCCCUCCCCCGGCGUGGGAGGAGAGGACAGAGAGUUCUACUCAUGGAACAUCAGGAUUGUAGACAAGGUGGUAUAGCCAAGCCAGGCCAGUCCAGAAGUCCUGAGAAACCAGAUGGCCUGGGACUUCAGCCUAAGAAGACUUAUGGACUUGAAACAGGGACCAUGCCCUAGGUGAACCCAAAAACCUAAACUUCUUCCUUUCUCCAGAGACUGCGUGGAGAAGGAUUAUGCCUUCACGGAUGUAUAUUUAUGAUGAUACCUUCUGAAGUAACUAUUCCUUUGUAAAAGAUCCUAUAUUACAGAGGGAAAUCCUCGUUUAAGAAAUGGGUAUUGAGGGAGUGUCAACUUGGAAUAUAGAAACCCCAAUCUUGAGAUUACUUAAGAAAGCUGAAGAACUCAAGCUUGACCUUGUCACAUGAGAAUUUCUCCAGAGGGAAAUCCCAACUUCACAAGUUUCAGACUAACAAUAAGCCUUUUAAGUAUUUUAGGUGGAGUUGGCAGACUUAAUCAGAUGUGAAGUACUCUUUUAUGUUUCUCUCUUUGUGUCAAACACAACUGGCAUCCCAUGUCCCAUAUGCCACAAACUGUGCCUCAGCCUUUGGACUUCAAAGCCACAUGAGGGUACAUCAAUAGAUGAUAAUGCACAAAGACAAUUGUCAUUCUCAGUAAUGGAGAGACUACCACUUUGUGUCAAAGUCCUUUCUAAGUAGUCUUAGUCUAAGGUCUAAGAAAAUUGUGUAGAAAUCCUCUCCUGAUUAAAGAUGUGAUUUUUCUGAGUAUUAAAUUGCUCUGUGUUUUUUCCAGUUUAAGAGGAGGGUGGGAAAAUUUUGGAAUUCAAUUUUGGAAAACAAAUAUUUUAAAAUGUUAUUGUAUGUAAUUGGAAAUAAAUAUACAUAUACCAAAAAAA